Molecule: small nuclear RNA, 19 nt
Filed under: Arabidopsis thaliana (thale cress)
Lineage: Eukaryota; Viridiplantae; Streptophyta; Magnoliopsida; Brassicales; Brassicaceae
Description: snRNA_10834
Source: RNAcentral
GGAACUCGAGAGGAGCACC